GAUGAACGCUAGCUACAGGCUUAACACAUGCAAGUCGCGGGGCAGCGUGAUCGAAGCCUUGCUUUCGCUAGGCGGACACGGGCGCGGGGGUGAGUAGCGCGUCCCGCCCGUCCUUCAUACCCGGGAAUAGCCUUGCGAAACGGAGUUAUACGGUCUGUGGUUUCUGAGUCCCACCUGAGGCUUUCAACAAGGUUGGCGCGGUAUGAGGGGGCGGUGCGUCCGAUUAGCUUGUUGGCGGGGACACGGCCCACCGAGGCAUCGAUGGGUAGGGGUUCUGAGAGGAAGGUCCCCCACACUGGAACUGAGACACGGUCCAAACUCCUACGGGAGGCAGCAGUGAGGAAUAUUGGUCAAUGGGCGGAAGCCUGAACCAGCCAAGUAGCGUGCAGGAAGACGGCCCUACGGGUUGUAAACUGCUUUUAGGUGGGGAUAAAGCGGGGCUCGUGUGCCUUCUUGCAGGUACCACAUGAAAAAGGACCGGCUAAUUCCGUG
RNAcentral lists this ribosomal RNA (492 nucleotides) under uncultured bacterium. Its description in RNAcentral is "partial 16S ribosomal RNA". It matches the Rfam family "Bacterial small subunit ribosomal RNA", at positions 28 to 507 of the family's 1533-position model. The record is from RNAcentral.